This 305-nucleotide ribosomal RNA is filed under the name uncultured bacterium. RNAcentral describes it as "bacterial SSU rRNA". It matches the Rfam family "Bacterial small subunit ribosomal RNA", at positions 335 to 659 of the family's 1533-position model. The record is from RNAcentral.
GAUCCUACGGGAGGCAGCAGUGGGGAAUUUUGCACAAUGGGGGAAACCCUGAUGCAGCGACGCCGCGUGAUUUAGAAGGCCUUCGGGUUGUAAAAAUCUUUUGUAUAGGAAGAAAAUGACAGUACUAUACGAAUAAGGUCCGGCUAAUUACGUGCCAGCAGCCGCGGUAAUACGUAAGGACCGAGCGUUGUCCGGAAUCAUUGGGCGUAAAGGGUACGUAGGCGGGUCAUUAAGUUAGAAGUCAAAGGCUAUAGCUCAACUAUAGUAAGCUUCUAAAACUGGAGACCUUGAGUAAUGGAAGGGAA